Rhamnusium bicolor is the source of this 74-nucleotide non-coding RNA. The record is from the annotation of a GenBank genome assembly. Lineage: Eukaryota; Metazoa; Arthropoda; Insecta; Coleoptera; Cerambycidae.
GACCUUGUGGUCGAGUGGUAAGGACAUUUGCCUCUCACCCUGGAAUCCUGAGUUCGAUUCUCACCCUGGAGUCC